This 253-nucleotide ribosomal RNA is filed under the name uncultured bacterium. Its description in RNAcentral is "partial 16S ribosomal RNA". It matches the Rfam family "Bacterial small subunit ribosomal RNA", at positions 524 to 776 of the family's 1533-position model. The record is from RNAcentral.
UACGGAGGAUGCAAGCGUUAUCCGGAAUGAUUGGGCGUAAAGCGUCCGCAGGUGGCUGUGUAAGUCUGCUGUUAAAUAGUGAGGCUCAACCUCAUAAAGGCAGUGGAAACUACACGGCUAGAGUGCGUUCGGGGCAGAGGGAAUUCCUGGUGUAGCGGUGAAAUGCGUAGAGAUCAGGAAGAACACCGGUGGCGAAAGCGCUCUGCUAGGCCGCAACUGACACUGAGGGACGAAAGCGAGGGGAGCGAAUGGG